AAAGUCGGCCAGGCAAUCGCCGGAUACUUCGGUAUCGGGAGGAAAGUCCGGGCUCCGCAGGGCAGGAUGCCAGUUAACGGCUGGGCGCCAUAAGCCGCAAGGCCAAAGCGACGGACAGUGCAACAGAGAACAGACCGCCGAUGGCUCCGCAAGGAGAUCAGGUAAGGGUGAAACGGCGAGGUAAGAGCUCACCGCGUCCACGGUAACGGCGGACGGCACGGUAAACCCCAUCCGGAGCAAGACCAAAUAGGGAAGCA
Molecule: RNase P RNA, 257 nt
Filed under: Betaproteobacteria bacterium HGW-Betaproteobacteria-12
Lineage: Bacteria; Pseudomonadati; Pseudomonadota; Betaproteobacteria
Description: partial RNase P RNA component class A
Rfam family: Bacterial RNase P class A
About the family: Ribonuclease P (RNase P) is a ubiquitous endoribonuclease, found in archaea, bacteria and eukarya as well as chloroplasts and mitochondria.
Source: RNAcentral